This 25-nucleotide non-coding RNA is filed under the name Mus musculus (house mouse). Lineage: Eukaryota; Metazoa; Chordata; Mammalia; Rodentia; Muridae. The record is from RNAcentral.
UGAGAUGAAGAUGCAUAUGUUCUGU